This 277-nucleotide ribosomal RNA is filed under the name unidentified marine bacterioplankton. RNAcentral describes it as "partial 16S ribosomal RNA". It matches the Rfam family "Bacterial small subunit ribosomal RNA", at positions 64 to 339 of the family's 1533-position model. The record is from RNAcentral.
AAACGAUGUUAGCUUGCUAACAGGCGUCGAGUGGCGGACGGGUGAGUAACGCGUAGGAAUCUACCAAAUAGCGGGGGAUAGCCCGGAGAAAUCCGGAUUAAUACCGUAUAAUCUCUACCGGAGUAAAGAGGGCCUCUAUUUAUAAGCUUUUCACUAUUUGAUGAGCCUGCGUAAAGAUUAGCUUGUUGGUGAGGUAAAAGCUCACCAAGGCGACGAUCUUUAGCUGGUCUGAGAGGAUGAUCAGCCCACACUGGGACUGAGACACGGCCCAGACUCC